This 82-nucleotide transfer RNA is filed under the name bacterium. RNAcentral's name for it is "tRNA-Leu". It matches the Rfam family "tRNA". Rfam says of the family: Transfer RNA (tRNA) molecules are approximately 80 nucleotides in length. The record is from RNAcentral.
GCCCGGGUGGUGGAAUUGGCAGACACGCUAUCUUGAGGGGGUAGUGCCGUAAGGUGUGCGGGUUCAAAUCCCGCCCCGGGCA